UGGGGAAUCUUGCACAAUGGGCGACAGCCUGAUGCAGCAAUGCCGCGUGAGGGAAGACGGCCUUAGGGUUGUAAACCUCUUUCAGUUGGGAUGAAGGUUGGACGGUUAAUAGCCGCGCCAACUGACCGUACCUUCAGAAGAAGCUCCGGCUAACUACGUGCCAGCAGCCGCGGUAAUACGUAGGGAGCAAGCGUUGUCCGGAAUCAUUGGGCGUAAAGCGCGUGUAGGCGGUUACAUAAGUCUGUUGUGAAAGUCGGAGGCUCAACCUUCGAAAGCCGAUGGAUACUGUGUGACUUGAGUACGGAAGAGGAGAGUGGAAUUCCUGGUGUAGCGGUGAAAUGCGCAGAUAUCAGGAGGAACACCAACGGCGAAGGCAGCUCUCUGGGACGUUACUGACGCUGAGACGCGAAAGCGUGGGGAGCAAACA
This 427-nucleotide ribosomal RNA is filed under the name uncultured bacterium. RNAcentral's name for it is "bacterial SSU rRNA". It matches the Rfam family "Bacterial small subunit ribosomal RNA", at positions 355 to 774 of the family's 1533-position model. The record is from RNAcentral.